CAAUAGCGUAUAUUAAAGUUGUUGCAGUUAAAAAGCUCGUAGUUGGAUUUCGGGAUGGGCCAGUCGGUCUGCCGUAAGGUAUGUUACUGGCUGGUCUGUCCUUCUUCGCAAAGACUGCGUGUGCCCUUAAUUGUGUGUGCGUAGGAUUUGCGACGUUUACUUUUGAAAAAAAUUAGAGUGUUCAAAGCAGGCUUACGCCAUUGAAUACAUUAGCAUGGAAUAAUAAGAUAGGACUUUAGUACUUAUUUUGGUUUGGUUUCUAGGACCGAAGUAAUGAUUAAUAGGGACAGUUGGGGGCAUUCAUAUUCCAUUGUCAGAGGUGAAAUUCUUGGAUUAACGGAAGAUGAACUUAACUGCGAAGCAUCUGCCAAGGAUGUUUUCAUUGAUCAAGAACGAAAGUUAGGGGAUCGAAGACGAUCAGAU
RNAcentral lists this ribosomal RNA (423 nucleotides) under uncultured eukaryote. RNAcentral's name for it is "bacterial SSU rRNA". It matches the Rfam family "Eukaryotic small subunit ribosomal RNA", at positions 592 to 1013 of the family's 1831-position model. The record is from RNAcentral.